This 392-nucleotide ribosomal RNA is filed under the name uncultured bacterium. RNAcentral describes it as "partial 16S ribosomal RNA". It matches the Rfam family "Bacterial small subunit ribosomal RNA", at positions 523 to 918 of the family's 1533-position model. The record is from RNAcentral.
AUACGUAUGUCGCAAGCGUUAUCCGGAUUUAUUGGGCGUAAAGCGCGUCUAGGCGGUUUAGUAAGUCUGAUGUGAAAAUGCGGGGCUCAACCCCGUAUUGCGUUGGAAACUGCUAAACUAGAGUACUGGAGAGGUAGGCGGAACUACAAGUGUAGAGGUGAAAUUCGUAGAUAUUUGUAGGAAUGCCGAUGGGGAAGCCAGCCUACUGGACAGAUACUGACGCUAAAGCGCGAAAGCGUGGGUAGCAAACAGGAUUAGAUACCCUGGUAGUCCACGCCGUAAACGAUGAUUACUAGGUGUUGGGGGUCGAACCUCAGCGCCCAAGCUAACGCGAUAAGUAAUCCGCCUGGGGAGUACGUACGCAAGGAUGAAACUUAAAGGAAUUGGCGGGG